AAUUGUAGGUACUUUCAAGAAAUAUAGUUAACUGUAAGUGCUGUAUUUUAAUAAUCUAUCAAAAAUCAAAAUCAUCAGGAUAAUAUUAGGUAUUGAUUUUCGGACAAGAAUUAGAUUACAGUGAUGGUCAAAAGCAUUUAGAUAUUGCUUUGAAAUCUACAGAUAAGGUAUGGCAGUUUCAUUUUAAAGAACAAUAUGUUAAAGUUUGUGAUAAAAUUGUCAUCAGAAAUACUGUCCACUUCAGUAUUUACAUAGGAAAAUAUUGGAGGAUGAAGCUUUACCUACUGCCUCAGGUUAAUUUAAAUUCUGAAUUGCAACAACAGCAACAAGCAAGAAGGGCACCAUUAAAUGAUUUUUAUACACAUAAGUAUUAUUAUACACAUAAAUAUUAACAUUUUGUAGAGCAACAACACAAUAAAAAACCAAAAUAUGAACACCAGCAACUAAAACAGGAACCAUUAAAUGAAUAUUAUACACAGCAAUAACAGCAUCAAAUAAUGGAAAUAAUGGACCCUACUGCUCAAAUCAAAAACAAAAUUUCAUCAUUACCACUUUAUUGGUUAUAUCAAUAAAAGAAAUUAUUGAGUUUAUGAGUCUAGAUCCUACAAGCAAGCAGAUCUAUCACAUAAUUUAAAAUGAAGAUUUAUCUAUUAUAGUAAUUUAUUCUAAUAAU
Molecule: long non-coding RNA, 673 nt
Organism: Sitophilus oryzae (rice weevil)
Lineage: Eukaryota; Metazoa; Arthropoda; Insecta; Coleoptera; Curculionidae
Exons: 3
Source: RefSeq, a predicted model, not a curated record